This 433-nucleotide ribosomal RNA is filed under the name uncultured bacterium. Its description in RNAcentral is "partial 16S ribosomal RNA". It matches the Rfam family "Bacterial small subunit ribosomal RNA", at positions 29 to 507 of the family's 1533-position model. The record is from RNAcentral.
AACGAACGCUGGCGGCAGGCCUAACACAUGCAAGUCGAGCGCGCCCUUCGGGGUGAGCGGCGGACGGGUGAGUAACGCGUGGGAACGUGCCCUUUUCUACGGAAUAGCCUCGGGAAACUGAGAGUAAUACCGUAUACGCCCUUUGGGGGAAAGAUUUAUCGGAAAAGGAUCGGCCCGCGUUGGAUUAGGUAGUUGGUGGGGUAAUGGCCUACCAAGCCGACGAUCCAUAGCUGGUUUGAGAGGAUGAUCAGCCACACUGGGACUGAGACACGGCCCAGACUCCUACGGGAUGCAGCAGUGGGGAAUCUUAGACAAUGGGGGCAACCCUGAUCUAGCCAUGCCGCGUGAGUGAUGAAGGCCUUAGGGUUGUAAAGCUCUUUCAGCUGGGAAGAUAAUGACGGUACCAGCAGAAGAAGCCCCGGCUAACUCCGUG